ACUCCUACGGGAGGCAGCAGUGGGGAAUAUUGCACAAUGGAGGAAACUCUGAUGCAGCAACGCCGCGUGGAGGAUGACACUUUCGGAGCGUAAACUCCUUUAUAUAGGAAGAUAAUGACGGUACUAUAUGAAUAAGCACCGGCUAACUCCGUGCCAGCAGCCGCGGUAAUACGGAGGUGCAAGCGUUACUCGGAAUCACUGGGCGUAAAGAGCGUGUAGGCGGGUUAUUAAGUCAGAAGUGAAAUCCUAUGGCUCAACCAUAGAACUGCUUUUGAAACUGGUAACCUAGAGUAUGGGAGAGGUAGAUGGAAUUUCUGGUGUAGGGUAAAAUCCGUAGAGAUCAGAAGGAAUACCGAAUUGCGAAGGCGAUCUACUGGAACAUUACUGACGCUGAGACGCGAAAGCGUGGGGAGCAAACAGGAUUAGAUACCCUGGUAGACUGUCA
This 445-nucleotide ribosomal RNA is filed under the name uncultured bacterium. RNAcentral's name for it is "bacterial SSU rRNA". It matches the Rfam family "Bacterial small subunit ribosomal RNA", at positions 335 to 802 of the family's 1533-position model. The record is from RNAcentral.